Non-coding RNA from Peromyscus maniculatus bairdii (prairie deer mouse), 1151 nucleotides. Lineage: Eukaryota; Metazoa; Chordata; Mammalia; Rodentia; Cricetidae. The record is from RefSeq and is a predicted model, not a curated record.
UCACAUGUCAUAGGUAUCUUUGCCAAGUGAUGAAGACCAAGAAGAGGGAAGAGGAAGUAAUAAACUACAAUGGUGCAUUUGUUCCAUCAAAAUCGCUUUGCAUCAAUUUCUACCUAAAACUGCUCAGAGAUGUCAGUAGAAUCAAGCAAGUAAGCAAGCAUUUACUGGGUGAUAGUGCACUAGCAUGACUAAUGACCCUAAAGAAGAUACUGCAAGCAAUACCUCAGGAUUUCUGAAAACUCUUCUAAUGCUCUCAGCCCAGGACGUAGGCUUCUCUGAUUGGAGUGACCACAUAGUCUUGAAACAUGGCAAACUUUGGAGAGUAAGGCAUUGCAUUUUAGUUCUUAUUCUGAACAGGAGUUGGACCCCUCACCUGAAGGGGAAAAUAGUGAGAUGUUUUAUCCUGUGGUGAUCACCAGAAACAAAGACAAAUGACAGAGGGUGAUGUGUGGGAGGAAAGAGCACCCACUCUGGAGGUAGUUAUCUGUCCUACAAAAAGUCUGGCUACCUGGAGAGUAAUACUAAGAGAGCUGUGUAAACUGAAUCUGACUUUCUUCUUACUUCUACAAUUAUGGAUGUAGCCAUCAUUGUACAUCCAAGUCUUCCUAAAUAAGCUUAAUUCUAGCUGAGUUAUAUGCCUGUAGUCUCAGCACUUAGGAGACUGAGAUAAGAUUACAACUUCAGGCCAAAAUAAAGCUAUUCUAUUCAAAAAAAGUAAAAGAAAAGAAAAGAUGAUUAAGAGACAUUCAUGUCCUAUCCUUGACCACAGUUUUAUAAAAUGUGUUCAUGAUGAAGAGAGUCAUUCCUCACUUCAAUAGGAAUGACUUCCUUAUAUGAAUUUGAUAUCAUGUAAAGACACAGAAGAAGCAAAUUGAGUGAUAAUAUGGCAGAAAAUGUUCUGUGAUGUAUCUAAAGAACAAGAAAUGCCAUGUAUGGGUUGGCUCACCCCUAAUAGGCUUGAAGGCCACCAGGCCCAAACAAUGAUACUUUCUGAGAGCCAACCUGGGUCUGCCUAAGGGCCUUAGCAACAGCAGCUGAAACAUGAUCUGGAGAUGACUUGGACCAAUGAGAAGUAGCCAUGUCAUACCAACAGAUGCAUAUUUCUCAGAACUUCCCCCAGGGUAGGGUGGAGGGUAUAUAAGGCUUGCCUC